Thalassophryne amazonica is the source of this 455-nucleotide long non-coding RNA. RefSeq lists it as uncharacterized. The transcript is spliced from 2 exons. NCBI's taxonomy places the organism in Eukaryota, Metazoa, Chordata, Actinopteri, Batrachoidiformes, Batrachoididae. The record is from RefSeq and is a predicted model, not a curated record.
GAUAGGCUGAUAAUCAGCUGGGCCGAUACUGGCUGUGUAUCGGCCAUUCCAAUUAUUGGCAUUGGCCGAUAAUCAGCUGGGGCCUAUAAUCACCCCUGGCCAAUUAUCGGCCUAGCCGAUUAUCAGUCUAUCCCUACAGAGCACCAAGAGGGAUUGUAAGCCAAUGUCGAUUAUCACCCAACUGAUUAUCAGUCUAUCCCUACAGAGCACCAAGAGGGAUUGUAAGCCAAUGUCGAUUAUCACCCAACUGAUUAUCGGUCUAUCCCUACAGAAGGGAUUAUUGGCCAAUGUCGAUUAUCACCCAACCAAUUAUCGGUCUAUCCCUACAGAGCACCCAGAGGGAUUAUUGGCCAAUGUCGAUUAUCACCCAACCGAUCGGUCUAUCCCUACAGAGCACCCAGAGGGAUUAUCGGCCAAUGUCGAUUGUCACCCAACUGAGUAUCAGUGUAUCACUA